GAUGAACGCUGGCGGCGUGCCUAAUACAUGCGAGUCGAGCGAACGGACGAGAAGCUUGCUUUUCUGAUGUUAGCGGCGGACGGGUGAGUAACACGUGGAUAACCUACCUAUAAGACUGGGAUAACUUCGGGAAACCGGAGCUAAUACCGGAUAAUAUUUUGAACCGCAUGGUUCAAAAGUGAAAGACGGUCUUGCUGUCACUUAUAGAUGGAUCCGCGCUGCAUUAGCUAGUUGGUAAGGUAACGGCUUACCAAGGCAACGAUGCAUAGCCGACCUGAGAGGGUGAUCGGCCACACGGGAACGGAGACACGGUCCAAACUCUACGGGAGGCAGCAGUAGGGAAUCUUCCGCAAUGGGCGAAAGCCUGACGGAGCAACGCCGCGUGAGUGAUGAAGGUCUUCGGAUCGUAAAACUCUGUUAUUAGGGAAGAACAUAUGUGUAAGUAACUGUGCACAUCUUGACGGUACCUAAUCAGAAAGCCACGGCUAACUACGUG
Molecule: ribosomal RNA, 496 nt
Filed under: uncultured bacterium
Lineage: Bacteria
Description: partial 16S ribosomal RNA
Rfam family: Bacterial small subunit ribosomal RNA
Source: RNAcentral